GAUGAACGCUAGCGGGAGGCUUAACACAUGCAAGUCGAGGGGCAGCACUGAUAGCAAUAUUAGGUGGCGACCGGCGGACGGGUGAGUAACGCGUAUGCAACCUACCCUUUACAGGGGGAUAGCCCGGAGAAAUUCGGAUUAAUACCCCAUAGAUCAGUGAUUCUGCAUGGGAUUACUGGUAAAGCUUCGGCGGUAAAGGAUGGGCAUGCGUCCCAUUAGCUAGUUGGUAGGGUAACGGCCUACCAAGGCAACGAUGGGUACGGGGUCUUAAAGGAUGGACACGCAAACUGGCACUGAGACACGGGCCAGACUCCGACGGGAGGCAGCAGUGAGGAAUAUUGGUCAAUGGGGGGAACCCUGAACCAGCCAUCCCGCGUGCAGGAAGACAGUUCUAUGGAUUGUAAACUGCUUUUCUUGGGGAAGAAUAAUGACGACGUGUCGUCAGAUGACGGUACCCGAGGAAUAAGCAUCGGCUAACUCCGUGCCAGCCGCCGCCGUAA
Molecule: ribosomal RNA, 500 nt
Filed under: uncultured bacterium
Lineage: Bacteria
Description: partial 16S ribosomal RNA
Rfam family: Bacterial small subunit ribosomal RNA
Source: RNAcentral